Molecule: ribosomal RNA, 600 nt
Filed under: uncultured Spiroplasma sp.
Lineage: Bacteria; Bacillati; Mycoplasmatota; Mollicutes; Entomoplasmatales; Spiroplasmataceae
Description: bacterial SSU rRNA
Rfam family: Bacterial small subunit ribosomal RNA
Source: RNAcentral
AUUUAGUGGGGAAUAACUGUUGGAAACGACAGCUAAUACCGCAUAAUAUUGCUGGAUAAUUUCCAGUAAUGAAAGGAGCUUUCAAGCUCCGCUGAUUGAUGAGGAUGCGGCGCAUUAGCUAGUUGGUAGGGUAAUGGCCUACCAAGGCAAUGAUGCGUAGCCGAUCUGAGAGGAUGAACGGCCACAUUGGGACUGAGACACGGCCCAAACUUCUACGGAAGGCAGCAGUAGGGAAUUUUUCACAAUGGGCGAAAGCCUGAUGGAGCAAUGCCGCGCGACUGAUGAAGGUCUUCGGAUUGUAAAGGUCUGUUGUAAGGGAAGAAAUGGUAAAACAGGAAAUGGUUUUAUCUAUGACGGUACCUUACCAGAAAGCCACGGCUAACUAUGUGCCAGCAGCCGCGGUAAUACAUAGGUGGCAAGCGUUAUCCGGAUUUAUUGGGCGUAAAGGGUGCGUAGACGGUUUUGCAAGUCUGAGGUUAAAUUUAGGAGCUCAACUCCUAAUCGCCUUGGAAACUACAAGACUAGAGUAUAGGAGAGGUUAGUGGAAUUNCAUGUGUAGCGGUGGAAUGUGUAGAUAUAUGGAGGAACACCAGUGGCNNA